Molecule: ribosomal RNA, 497 nt
Filed under: uncultured bacterium
Lineage: Bacteria
Description: partial 16S ribosomal RNA
Rfam family: Bacterial small subunit ribosomal RNA
Source: RNAcentral
GAUGAACGCUGGCGGCGUGCCUAAUACAUGCAAGUCGAGCGAACAGACGAGGAGCUUGCUCCUCUGACGUUAGCGGCGGACGGGUGAGUAACACGUGGAUAACCUACCUAUAAUACUGGGAUAACUUCGGGAAACCGGAGCUAAUACCGGAUAAUAUAUUGAACCGCAUGGUUCAAUAGUGAAAGACGGUUUUGCUGUCACUUAUAGCUGGAUCCGCGCCGCAUUAGCUAGUUGGUAAGGUAACGGCUUACCAAGGCAACGAUGCGUAGCCGACCUGAGAGGAUGAUCGGCCACACUGGAACUGAGACACGGUCCAGACUCCUACGGGAGGCAGCAGUAGGGAAUCUUCCGCAAUGGGCGAAAGCCUGACGGAGCAACGCCGCGUGAGUGAUGAAGGUCUUCGGAUCGUAAAACUCUGUUAUUAGGGAAGAACAAAUGUGUAAGUAACUAUGCACGUCUUGACGGUACCUAAUCAGAAAGCAACGGCUAACUACGUG